This is a small nuclear RNA of Diceros bicornis minor, 107 nucleotides long. Lineage: Eukaryota; Metazoa; Chordata; Mammalia; Perissodactyla; Rhinocerotidae. The record is from RefSeq and is a predicted model, not a curated record.
AUGCUCACUUUGGCAACACAUACUCUCAAAUUGGAACUAUUCAUCGAUGUUUAGCAUGGCCCCUGCACACAGAUAAUGCACAAAAUCGUGAAGCGUUUCAUAUUGUU